RNAcentral lists this ribosomal RNA (119 nucleotides) under Ricinus communis (castor bean). The record is from RNAcentral. Lineage: Eukaryota; Viridiplantae; Streptophyta; Magnoliopsida; Malpighiales; Euphorbiaceae.
GGGUGCGAUCAUACUAGCACUAAUGCACCGGAUCUCAUCAGAACUCCGAAGUUAAACGUGCUUGGGCGAGAGUAGUACUAAGAUGGGUGACCUCUUGGGAAAUAGUCGUGUUGCGCCCC